CAUGGUUCGAAAUUGAAAGGCGGCUUCGGCUGUCACUUAUGGAUGGACCCGCGUCGCAUUAGCUAGUUGGUGAGGUAACGGCUCACCAAGGCAACGAUGCGUAGCCGACCUGAGAGGGUGAUCGGCCACACUGGGACUGAGACACGGCCCAGACUCCUACGGGAGGCAGCAGUAGGGAAUCUUCCGCAAUGGACGAAAGUCUGACGGAGCAACGCCGCGUGAGUGAUGAAGGCUUUCGGGUCGUAAAACUCUGUUGUUAGGGAAGAACAAGUGCUAGUUGAAUAAGCUGGCACCUUGACGGUACCUAACCAGAAAGCCACGGCUAACUACGUGCCAGCAGCCGCGGUAAUACGUAGGUGGCAAGCGUUAUCCG
RNAcentral lists this ribosomal RNA (373 nucleotides) under Bacillus cereus. Its description in RNAcentral is "bacterial SSU rRNA". It matches the Rfam family "Bacterial small subunit ribosomal RNA", at positions 188 to 547 of the family's 1533-position model. Lineage: Bacteria; Bacillati; Bacillota; Bacilli; Caryophanales; Bacillaceae. The record is from RNAcentral.